RNAcentral lists this long non-coding RNA (527 nucleotides) under Homo sapiens (human). Its description in RNAcentral is "novel transcript". The record is from RNAcentral. Lineage: Eukaryota; Metazoa; Chordata; Mammalia; Primates; Hominidae.
AAGGGUCUCCGGGAAGCCUUGGCUUCUCCUCCCAUAAUACCGUGCUUUUGUCUACCAGGUCAUUUCUCUAUGGAAACAGCAGGAGAGAGACAGCGGAUGAAGAGGUCUAGGCAAGGAUGGGUGAGGACGCAGUAAGGAGCUGAAAGCUGCACCAGGCAGAGAAUGGCCCACCCCAUCACUUAACAAGGCUGGCAUCCCCGCAUCUAUCUGUUAAAGCUGCCUGUGAACAAGAAGCUGUGAUGUUCCGUACAACCAGGGAUGUGUGGGUUUGUGGACAACAGACGAUUUUCUAGUUGUUGUUUUUUUUUUUAAGAUUCUUUCCCCUUACAGAAAAGGGGCUCUGAUACGCCUGAAUUAAAUCACCUUUCAAAAGCCAAGAAACAAAUCAUCGUCCCCUAAGGAUGACUGAGGAGCAAGAAGCCAGUACUUACUGUGUGUCUCAAGCAAGCUGAUAGAAGCUAGAGAAGACCAUCUGGUUUGAGAUAAAGUACAACAGUGCCGGACCCACUGCUCUGCUCCAGAAAGCA